Molecule: long non-coding RNA, 1771 nt
Organism: Zonotrichia albicollis (white-throated sparrow)
Lineage: Eukaryota; Metazoa; Chordata; Aves; Passeriformes; Passerellidae
Source: Ensembl
GGAUGGGGAUGGACGCCCCGGGAUGGGGAAGAUGCGGGAGGCACCGCGCGGAGUCCGCGAGCAUCCCCUGAGCAUCACCCCCACCCCGCCUUCGCUGGUCCCCUGCGAAGUUCUGCCCUGAGCGAAACUCAGGUUCUGCAUCUAGACAUUGUUUUGUUUGUGGUUGUUCUUUGGCUUGUGUAGGGUUGUUUUUUGUUGGUUUUUCUUGUUUUUUUGUUUUUUUUUUUCCAGCGGUUGGGUUCGAGGGAAAACACUUGGGAAUGCUUGUGUGGCACACGGGAAGGCGGCCGCGCUUUGCCCGCAAAAGAUAAACGCAAAGUGCAACGAAACGUGUUAAAUGCCACUAGCCUUGCCUGAAGGCAUCAAGAUAUUUCUUGGAGGAUUCCCCCCUCUCCGUGCGAGGCAACAGGAGGCGGAUUUGGGGUUUCUGUCCUCGUAUUUUCUCUUUUCUCCCUGCGUUCAGGGAGCAGGCUCUGCCGCGCCGGAGCCCCAGAGGAGCAGUGGGUGACCAGCCUGAAGCCUACAGACCUUGAACUGCCUGCAGCACAUUGGGACUGUGGAAGAAAGUCUUUGAAUGAGGCACAGAGUCACAUUCUGGUAUAUGAAUUGUUUCUGUACCUACAAAGCCAGCCCACACCAUCAGAGUGCUCUGCAACAUCCUGUCCUCAAUCUCUGCACAUGGAAAUAGCAGGAAAAUGGAUUCAUAGAAUCAUUAGGGUCAAAAACACUUCUAAGAUCACUGAGCCCAUCUAUUCACCCAGCACUGCCAAGCCCACCAUGAAACCACAUCCCCAAAUGCCACAUCUACAUAUCUGAAAUCCCUCCAGGGAUGGUGACUCCACCACUGCCCUGGGCAGCCUGUUUCACUGCUUGACAUCCCUUCAGCAACAAAACUAUUCCAAAAAUCCAAUCUAAACCUCUCCUGGCACAGCUUGAGGCCAUUUCCACUUGUCCCAUCACCUGGGAGAAGAGACCAACUCCCACCUGGCUGCAGCCUCCCUGCAGGGAGUUGCAGAGAACAGCAAAGUCCCCCUGAGUCUCCUGCUCUCCUGACUGAACAACCAGCAGUCACAGCCUGGGGCUUCUGUGCUAUCCAUUAGAAAAAGGCAAAAUGCUAAUUGUGGGUCAGGUGUUUAAAGCCAAAAUUACUUGGGGUUUUUGGCUUUUCCACAACAUAUUUCAUUGGUUUCUGAGGAGAGCUCCAAACUGAAAACUAACAGCAUCUCCAGCUGGGUGUGUAUUCUGUAGUCAAUCUAACCUCAAUUUGGAAUUGCCCUUCCUUGAAAAAAGUCUUAGGAACAAUUAAACAAAAAUACACGAAAUUAAGUGAAGAGCUUUUACCAAAAUUCCUUUGGCCAACAGCACUUUUUCUGUUGAGUGAAUGUCGAGCACAGCAGAAGAUGCUGAGAGACUCCUGCCUGUGGUCUCAGGAGCAGUAAGAGUCAACAUCUUCAGAGGCAGGAAUCACUCCUGUGAGUGAAGAGAGGCUGCUUGUACCCCUCUCUGUACCUCUGCCUUUCAGCCUGUUGUCACCCUGAUUUUAUAAGUUUUUCUCAGCCUUCUGAUGUUUACAUUCUUGUGGCAAACUUUCUCACACACUUUCUGUAAAUAACUUAUUGUUUUGCAUUCUUUAUGGAGAAGGAGAAAUUUGAUGGACUGUUGGUUUGUCCAGUGUCAUUGGAGAGGUGUGAGAGGUGUCAUUGUCACUUUUGGAAAACUAUUAAUGUUGGAGUCAGAAAAUAAACUUCCCUUUUUCUUUACCUUGAGAGCA